This 433-nucleotide ribosomal RNA is filed under the name uncultured bacterium. RNAcentral describes it as "partial 16S ribosomal RNA". It matches the Rfam family "Bacterial small subunit ribosomal RNA", at positions 29 to 507 of the family's 1533-position model. The record is from RNAcentral.
AACGAACGCUGGCGGCAGGCCUAACACAUGCAAGUCGAGCGCGCCCUUCGGGGUGAGCGGCGGACGGGUGAGUAACGCGUGGGAACGUGCCCUUUUCUACGGAAUAGCCUCGGGAAACUGAGAGUAAUACCGUAUACGCCCUUUGGGGGAAAGAUUUAUCGGAAAAGGAUCGGCCCGCGUUGGAUUAGGUUGUUGGUGGGGUAAUGGCCUACCAAGCCGACGAUCCAUAGCUGGUUUGAGAGGAUGAUCAGCCACACUGGGACUGAGACACGGCCCAGACUCCUACGGGAGGCAGCAGUGGGGAAUCUUAGACAAUGGGGGCAACCCUGAUCUAGCCAUGCCGCGUGAGUGAUGAAGGCCUUAGGGUUGUAAAGCUCUUUCAGCUGGGAAGAUAAUGACGGUACCAGCAGAAGAAGCCCCGGCUAACUCCGUG